This 170-nucleotide unclassified non-coding RNA is filed under the name uncultured Penicillium. RNAcentral describes it as "sequence contains ITS1". Lineage: Eukaryota; Fungi; Ascomycota; Eurotiomycetes; Eurotiales; Aspergillaceae. The record is from RNAcentral.
CCGAGUGCGGGCCCUCUGGGUCCAACCUCCCACCCGUGUUUAUCGUACCUUGUUGCUUCGGCGGGCCCGCCGUCAGGCCGCCGGGGGCAUCCGCCCCGGGCCCGCGCCCGCCGAAGACACCCCUGAACGCUGUCUGAAGAUUGCAGUCUGAGCGAUUAUUAAAUUAUUUA